UACGUAGGGUGCAAGCGUUAAUCGGAAUUACUGGGCGUAAAGCGUGCGCAGGCGGUUAUGUAAGACAGGUGUGAAAUCCCCGGGCUUAACCUGGGAACUGCAUUUGUGACUGCAUAGCUAGAGUACGGCAGAGGGGGAUGGAAUUCCGCGUGUAGCAGUGAAAUGCGUAGAUAUGCGGAGGAAUACCGAUGGCGAAGGCAGCCUCCUGGGCCAACACUGACGCUCAUGCACGAAAGCGUGGGGAGCAAACAGG
RNAcentral lists this ribosomal RNA (253 nucleotides) under uncultured bacterium. RNAcentral's name for it is "partial 16S ribosomal RNA". It matches the Rfam family "Bacterial small subunit ribosomal RNA", at positions 524 to 776 of the family's 1533-position model. The record is from RNAcentral.